AACUACUAUGUGCUGGGUACCAUUCUAAGGACUUUAUGUGUGUUAAGUCAUUUGUUCCUUCCCAUUUUACAGAUGCAGAUACCGAGGCACUGAGACUGCCAGCAGCGUGCAAUGGUGGGAAUGUCCCCAAGGCAGAAGUGAAUCAAGAUUCUUGAAUGAUGAGAGCUCCAUUGAAAGAAAAAAGAUGCACUAAGUGAGGAAACCAACAUUGAACACCUACUCUACCAGGAACAUCAGAACAGGAAGGUACAUCCUUAACAGCAGUAAUUCAGGACUUAGCAAGCUCUCUGUUUCACCAACCAACCCUUUAAGUCAACAACCUCCUACUCAUCCAUUGGCACAUGUUUUCCUGAGUGAUAAUUGCCACUCUUCCCACAGGCAAAGAAUACCCAAACCCUUACCACUACUCCAUCCCUGUGAAAACUGCAACUCAGCUUCACCAGGAAAAAUAAAAGUCGUCGUAUUAAAAUGAAACUGAUUACACACCCUUCCUGACUAUAAAAAAUAAGAAUAGCAUUUCAUCAUAUACAGAGGCAUUAUCAGGUGGUCAUAGCUAUGUCAAAGUAUAUGUCAUAUGUCAUAGCUAUGUCAAAGCAUAUGUCAUAUGUCAUAGCUAUGUCAAAGCAUGUGUCAUAGCAUAGUCAAAGCAAUGGUUUUUCCAGUCAUCAUGUGGAUGUGAGAGUUGGACCAUAAAGAAGGCUGAAUGCUGAAGAAUUGAUGCUUUUGAAUUGUGGUGCUGGAGAAGACUCUUGAGAGUCUCUUGGACUGCAAGGAGAUCAAACCAGUCAGUCCUAAAGGAAAGCAACCCUGAACACUCAUUGGAAGGACUGAUGCUGAAGCUGAAGCUCCAAUACUUUGGCCACCUGAUCUGGAGAGACUUGUUGGCAAAGACUCUGAUGCUGGGAAAGAUUGAGGGCAGAGGAUGAGAUGGUUAGAUAACAUCAUUGACUCAAUAGACAUGAGUUUGAGCAAACUCUGGGAGAUAGUGGAGAACAGAGAAACCUAGUGUGCUGCAGUCCAUGGGAUUGAAAAAGAGUUGAACACAGUUAGCAACUGAACAACACAACAAAUCAGGUAGUGAUUAAAAUUCUAGAUUCUAGAGGUAGAGCUGUGUAUGGAUUACUGCUUUAAACCAGUAACUGCUCAUGUGACUAAGUAGCUUGGCUUCUGUAUGCCUGCUUCACAGGGUGUUGUUAGACUUGUAUGAAUAAGACAAUGUAUUGCAGUGUUUUGAUGGUAGAUAGUAGUCAGUUGU
This 1255-nucleotide long non-coding RNA is filed under the name Bos indicus x Bos taurus (hybrid cattle). Its description in RNAcentral is "lncRNA (ENSBIXG00000000025.1)". The record is from RNAcentral. Lineage: Eukaryota; Metazoa; Chordata; Mammalia; Artiodactyla; Bovidae.